RNAcentral lists this ribosomal RNA (259 nucleotides) under uncultured bacterium. RNAcentral's name for it is "partial 16S ribosomal RNA". It matches the Rfam family "Bacterial small subunit ribosomal RNA", at positions 96 to 353 of the family's 1533-position model. The record is from RNAcentral.
UGGCGGACGGGUGAGUAAUGUCUGGGGAAACUGCCUGAUGGAGGGGGGAUAACUACUGGAAACGGUAGCUAAUACCGCAUAACGUCGCAAGACCAAAGAGGGGGACCUUCGGGCCUCUUGCCAUCGGAUGUGCCCAGAUGGGAUUAGCUAGUAGGUGGGGGUAACGGCUCACCUAGGCGACGAUCCCUAGCUGGUCUGAGAGGAUGACCAGCCACACUGGAACUGAGACACGGUCCAGACUCCUACGGGAGGCAGCAUG